Molecule: ribosomal RNA, 497 nt
Filed under: uncultured bacterium
Lineage: Bacteria
Description: partial 16S ribosomal RNA
Rfam family: Bacterial small subunit ribosomal RNA
Source: RNAcentral
GAUGAACGCUGGCGGCGUGCCUAAUACAUGCAAGUCGAGCGAACAGACGAGGAGCUUGCUCCUCUGACGUUAGCGGCGGACGGGUGAGUAACACGUGGAUAACCUACCUAUGAGACUGGGAUAACUUCGGGAAACCGGAGCUAAUACCGGAUAAUAUAUUGAACCGCAUAGUUCAAUAGUGAAAGACGGUUUUGCUGUCACUUAUAGAUGGAUCCGCGCCGCAUUAGCUAGUUGGUAAGGUAACGGCUUACCAAGGCAACGAUGCGUAGCCGACCUGAGAGGGUGAUCGGCCACACUGGAACUGAGACACGGUCCAGACUCCUACGGGAGGCAGCAGUAGGGAAUCUUCCGCAAUGGGCGAAAGCUUGACGGAGCAACGCCGCGUGAGUGAUGAAGGUCUUCGGAUCGUAAAACUCUGUUAUUAGGGAAGAACAAAUGUGUAAGUAACUAUGCACGUCUUGACGGUACCUAAUCAGAAAGCCACGGCUAACUACGUG